RNAcentral lists this ribosomal RNA (255 nucleotides) under uncultured bacterium. RNAcentral's name for it is "partial 16S ribosomal RNA". It matches the Rfam family "Bacterial small subunit ribosomal RNA", at positions 524 to 776 of the family's 1533-position model. The record is from RNAcentral.
UACGGGGGGGAGCAAGCGUUGUUCGGAUUUACUGGGCGUAAAGGGCGCGUAGGCGGUCAGCACAAGUCAGUUGUGAAAUCUCCGGGCUUAACUCGGAACGGUCAAGUGAUACUGUCGGACUAGAGUACAGAAGGGGCAACUGGAAUUCUCGGUGUAGCGGUGAAAUGCGUAGAUAUCGAGAGGAACACCUGCGGCGAAGGCGGGUUGCUGGGCUGAUACUGACGCUGAGGCGCGAAAGCCAGGGGAGCGAACGGG